CCGAGUUGCAAAACUCCUAAACCAUUGUGAACGUUACCUAAACCGUUGCUUCGGCGGGAAGACGGCCCCUGGUUAACCCCGGGCGCCCUCGGCCCAUCGCGGCGCCCCCUAGGUCUCCAGCUCUUUAUACUUAUGCUCUCUCUGAGUCUCUUACAAUGAAAUAAUUCA
This 168-nucleotide unclassified non-coding RNA is filed under the name soil metagenome. RNAcentral describes it as "partial internal transcribed spacer 1". The record is from RNAcentral.